GGGACACAAAACCAAUAAUAUCUAAAAUGUAGCGGAGAGCAUUUUGACGCCAUGUAUUUCAUCAAUAAUUUAUCCACUGCCAUGUCCACCAGGGCGGCAUGCAUGCAGUUGAAACCAAGUUGAUGAGUACUGAAUGUUGUCUUCGUGGCUUGCACUUGUUUGAAUUUUCCAAAUCUGUGUUUUUCUCAUGGAAGCAAUUUUCUGUAUUGGAGAAGUUGCAGACAAGUCAAAUGUGCAGAAGAAGACAAAGCAUUAAAACCAAAAAGCUGUUGCGGAAAGGAUCGAUUCGAG
This 291-nucleotide long non-coding RNA is filed under the name Gossypium barbadense (sea-island cotton). RNAcentral describes it as "long non-coding RNA (GBAR_LNC001231)". Lineage: Eukaryota; Viridiplantae; Streptophyta; Magnoliopsida; Malvales; Malvaceae. The record is from RNAcentral.